ACAAGGAAUGUUCUUCAUACCCAUGAAGAGACAGGCAUAGCCAGGGCCCAUGCAGGUACCUAUGGCAACCCCUCUUACUUUUGAACUGUUCCGGAACAGUUCAAUGUUCUAAUAUUUUAAAAAAAAUACAUUCUAUUGAGUAACAGCCAUUCCAAGUGAAGAAAACCCUAGCCAUGGUUAGCCAGAAGUGUUUAAAUAUAGUAUCAAACUUAACAUAAUUGUGUAAGGGCAGAUGGCAAGUAGCUGGGUAGCUCAAAAAAUGAGCAAAGAAUGUGGAAUUUUUAAUAAAAUUCAGUAGCUUUAUAAACACUAGCACUUAAUAUCAAAGAGGUUAACAGCAAGUGAUUUGUACCUAAUGGAUAAUUCUCAAUAGAAAAUGAGAUGGCAAAUGAAUUGAACAAGUGUUUUGCACCAGCUCUUCACUUCAGAGGAUACAAGUAAUGUCCCCACAGUAGUGAUAUUCCAGGGAAUGGAAUGAGAAGGUGGAACGUGGAGUUGCAUUCUGAUAAGUGCUCCAAUCCCACUAAACUACAUUCUAGGGACUGAAGAGGUGGCUACUGAGAUGCAUCAGAUUUAAUUUUCUAAAACUCCUUGACUCAGGAAGGACUUUAGAAUUGAAGAUAGUAAAUAGCAAUUUAUUCAUAUCUUCUGUCUGCCCACUCCUUGAAGCUACAAAUGACUAUUAGAAGACUUUAAAUAAGUUAAAGCAGGGCACUUUGAUAAAUGUAAGGUAAUCAGGCAGAGCCAACACCAUUUUCUCAAAUGAAAUCAUGUUUGACCAAUCUGUUGGACUUACUUGAGGAGGUAAUAUGGGUGAUGGAUAAAGGGGAACUAGUAGAUGUAUUGUACUAGAUUUCUAGAAGGCAUUUGAUGAAGUACCACAUCAGGUAGAAAAGAAAAGCUUAUGGUGUACAGGGGUCUGGUACUAGUUUGGAUGUAAUAUUGGCUAACAAAGUAGGAGUACAUAUGUCUUUAGAUUGGAAAGAUGUAACAAGUGGUGUGCCAUGGGGAUUGGUACUGGAACCACAAACAUUUACAAUUUGUGAAUGAAAGGUACAAUUGCUAAACUUGCUGUAUAUGCAGAUAGGUAGGAAAGUAAGUUAUGAAGACAUUUUUUAAAAGCAGAUUAUUUAAAUGAUGAGCAACUUGCAUGAAUCAAGUACAACAAGUAAUUAGAAAGCUAGUUUGAAUGUGAUCACUUAUCACAAGGGGAAUUGAAUACCAAAGUUGGGAGGUUAUGCUUCACUUAUGGUGGGCACUGGAGAGACCAUAUUUGAACUACUUUGCAUGCUACUAGUCAACUUAUUUAAUGAAGGACAUAAAUGUGCUGGAAGCAGAUUGUCUCAUGAAGGUUCUAUCUGAUUGUUUAAAGGAGCAAGAAGUAACUAGUUGGAAGAUAAAAUCCUGAAGACUUGACAGGGUAGAUAGAGAUGUUCCUUUUAAUGGGAGAAUCUAGGGGUCACUGUUUAGAAAUCAGUCACCCAUUCAAAGUACAGAUGAGGCAAUUUUUUUCCCUUCUAGGAGAGUUGUGAAUAUUUGGAACUGUUUCUACCACUUUUUCAGGAAAAGAGUCCUUGAAUAUUUUGGAAGUGGGUGAAAAAGUUCAGAAUUGGGAAGGAAUGCAGAUUUGAGGUUACAAUCAGAUCAGCCACAACUUUAAUGGUAGAGCAGGCUAAAUCCUGCUCUUAAUUUAUAUCUAUGCCUACAGACAGCUAUAGGAACAUGCUUGAUAGAAAAUAACAUCAUAACAAUAUUUGCAAGUCUGUAUUAUCAAGGGAGCAGCAGUUUAAGAGGCUGAGGCCAAGACCAAUGAAAACAGCAGUUUAAAUUUGUACUGACACAAGGCAGGGAUGUAUAUCCUAACGUGGACAGUGGAAAAAUUAAGGUACAAUGAUGGAUAGCAGAAAGGUCAUAAUGUAGUGACCAGUGUUUAGUGUCAUUGUUGGUGAACUAUGACAAUUUCAGACAAUGUAUGUAGUUAUAGUUUACAGAUUAAAGCUCUAAAUGGCCUGAGCAAAGAGCUUUGCAAAUCUUGCUUGUCAUCAGAUUUAAAACAUCUGGUCUAUCCACAGAUGAUCAGAAACUCUGGACUGUUCUUAAAAACCAGCCAAAGCUAAGAAAUAACUUCAAGAUAUACAGUCUUCUAUUAUGACAUAUGUAAAUCAGUCAAAAGUCUAUUGACCAGUAAAUUGGAAGAUGCUGCAGUAAAAAGUAUGAAUGAAUGUUGCUUUUCUUGAACUUUCAAACAUGCUUGUUGAUUAUCUCUAUACCAGUUAAACAUUUAGGAAGGAUCAUUUGCACAAGAAAUUGAAGGAUGGAUAAAAGUACGAAGCCAUAGUGGCAGGGCAGUGAUAGUUGUUUUGAGUGUAGCAAUUGCUGCAGUCAGUAAUUUGUACCAACCAACAUUAAAUCUUUUAAUAGUUGCAGUUUGUCAGACUGUCUCUGAAGGUGUCCAGCUUUUCUUGAUAUCUAGUGCCAAGUGACAUUGGGCAUAUGUGGGACAUCUGGCUGCAAAAGCUAAACUAGACACCACAGCAAAGCCCAGGUGACCAAUGAGAUGGUACAACACUACAACACUGACAGCAAGGAAAGUGUGAAGGUGUACAAAUGCAAAUAUGCCAAUGAGAUUUGGAGUCAACCAAAUAAAGGACAAAUAUCAAAAGAUGACUAAGUUUUACAUAUUGUGAUCUUCAGACAACACACCAAUGGUAUAAGACAGAAUCUUUACAGAGCAUAUGAUAUUCAUGAUUGUUAAAGAUUUGUGUCACCCAUUAAAAGCUAAACUUCACCCAGGAACUCUUGCCAACCUAUUGCUACUGCAUUUCCAGCAGGAUUACAUACCUCAGCAAGUAACGAUUCAUCUUGUGGUGUACAAGAGACAGGUCUGCAGUUUGAGACUAACACAAGCUCAUUUUGGCUUCCUCCAACCUUCUGCCUGGGAGAUACCAAUGGUCUAGUAGUGGCGAUCCACCACUAUGUAAAUCUAGGUACAGUAACAAUUCAUGAGAUUUAAACCACAUCUGCUCUGCAAAAACAGACCACAAUUGAUGUAAUCAAAUCAGUUAAUGGUCUGCAAGGGUAUGACUUUGAAGUAAAAUAAUAAGCUUGGUACCUGGGUGAUUACAUCUGACAUGCUGAGCAGAUUACCCAACCCACACAAAUACCAAGGUAUUCAUCUUGAGUUCCACAUUGCUCUGAACUAAGGUAGGGAGAGAUGUGUUUUGGAGGCAGUCACACCCCUUAGAUUAAGUACCUCAAAUUUGGUCAGUGGUCAAGGACAGUAGGGUGUAACUGAACAAAACGGGUAGAAGGAUCUAGGAGGUAGUGCUGAAGGAGCCUCAGCCCUUAAGAUUCUCUGAACGAUUUGAGAUUCUUGCUCCCUCUGUGCAUGAGUGUGGAGCUAUAUGGAGCAUGAGCAAACUGACCAUAGCACCGUGGUAUUGGGAGCCAUUUGAGAGGGGGGGAAGGGAAGAAAAGAGAAACGUAGUUGUAAUCAGGGAUAGUACAAUCGGGGGAAUAGACAGUGCUCUCUGGAUAGUGUUUACUGUGGCCAGGAUUGAGGGUCCCUCAGAGCUGUGUUACAUGCCUGGUACUCGGGUUCAGGAUAUCUCAUCUGGGUUGUAGAUGAGUGGGAAGGGAAAGAUUGAGUUGUCGUUGUUCGUAUAGGUACCAAUGAUAAAGGUAGAAAGACAAAAGAGGUUCUGCUGAGGGAAUAUGAGUAGCUAGGGGCUGAAUUAAAAUGCAGAACCAAAAAUAAUAAUCUCCAGAUUACUACCUGAGUCACCAGCUAAUUGGCAGAGGUAAACGUGUGGCUCAAGGAUUGGUGUGGGAGAAACAGGUUCAAAUUUGAGAGACAUUGGCACCAGACCUGGGGAAGGAGGGAGCUAUUCUGAUGGAAUGGGCUCCACCUGAAUGAAGCUGGGAUGAGAGUCCUGGCGAAUCGCAUAACUAGGACUGAGGAUAGGGCUUUAAACUGAAUAGUUGGGGUGGGUUCAGUUGCAUGGAAAAUUAUAUAAAACGUUAAACUGGGGGAGGGCUCAGUAGAGGUUGUUAAAGUUUCCAGAGCAAGUCUACCAUGAGUAUGGAAAGGAUCAAGAAUCUAACUUCAGCACAGUAGAUAAGGGGACAACUAUGAGAAGGGGGACAGUCAAUGCAGGACUGAGGAUGUUGUACACAUACACACAGUACACAAAACAAGGUAAAUGAGCUUGUAGCAUAGACUGGAAUUGGCAGAUACAAUGUUGUGCGUAUCACGGAGAUGUGGCUGCUAGGAAAUCAGGGUUGGGAACUAAAUAUCCAAGGAUAUGCAUCUUAUUGAAAUGACAGGCAGAUGGGUAAAGGGGCAGGUGUUGCCUUUUAGUACAAAAUAAAAUUUAAAUCAGUAGCAAGAAAUGAUAUAGCAUUGGAAAGUGUAGAAUCUGUCUAGGUAGAGUUGAGGAACUGCAAAGGAAAAUAGACCAUGAUGGGAGUGUGUACAGACCUCUUAGCAAUAGUCAGAAGGUGGGGGAGAAAAUGAAUCGGGAGGUAGAAAAGGCAUGAUAGAAAGGCACGAUUACAAUAAUCAUGGGUGACUUCAAUAUGUGGUGGACUGCGAAAAUCAGGCAGAUAGCCGAUCCCUAGAAAAGGAAUUCAUGGAAUAUCUUUAAGAUGGUUUUUUGGAGCAGCUUGUGGUAGACCCCAUUAGGGAACAUGCAAUUCUGGAAUUGCUGAUGUGUACUGAGGCAGACUUGAUUAGGGAUCUUAAAGUGAAGGAACCCCUGGGGAAGUGACCACAAUAUGAUAGAAUUCACCUCGCAGUUUGAGAGGGAUAAACUGGAAUCCGAUGUAAUGAUAUUACAAUUGAGUAAAGGUAACUACAAAGACAUGAGGGAGGAGCUAGCCAGAGUUGAUUGGAAGGGGAUCCUAGCAAGGAAGACAGUGGAGCAGCAAUAGCAGGAAUUUCUGGGGUUUUUUUGGGAGGCGCAGCAGAAAUUCAUCUCAAGGUGGUAGAAACGUUCUUAGGGAAGGAUGAGGGAACUAUGGCUGAUAAGGGAAGUCAGGGACAGCAUAAAAGCAAAGGUAAAGCAUACAGUGUGGUGAAGAUUAGUGAGAAAUCAGAGGAUUAGGAAGUCUUUAAAUACCAGCAGAGGACAAUAAAAAGCAAUAAUGAGUGAGAAGAUGAAAUAUGAGAUUAUCUAGCUAGUAAUAUUGCAUUAUCUUAUUAGAUCACAAGAGUUUUUUUAGAUAUAUAAAAGAUGAGAGACAUGCAGGAGCGGACAUUGGACAGCUGGAAAAUGAAGCUGGAAAAGUAGUAAUGGGAAACAAGGAAAUGGCAGAGGACCUGAAUAGGUACUUUGCAACAGACUUAUGGUAUUGUACAUUAGCAUCAGUAAGCACAGAAUCCAAACUACAUGUGUAAGUCAUUGGUAUUGCAGCCAUAUAACUAGUGUUGUGCAUAAACGUGAAGAUUUCUGACUCAACAAGAAGCCAACUCUAUUGCAUAUGUUACAUAGAUUGACAUAUAGAACAUCAUAAAGUGCAUCAGGUUACAAGGUGUUCUGUGCCAACCAGGCCACAGUUGGUGUAAAUUGGCACAGAAUUGAAAAUGGAUGAAUUUUAUUUAUUAAUCUCCAACUCCUCCUAUCAGAUGCUGAUACAUUGAUAUAAGUAAAUAUAAAUUUCUGCAUUCUUAGUUCUUGUUGGCCUAUACUUAACUAGUGAAGGUGACAGUCGUCGGUGAGACACCUAAACAUAGUUUAUCAAUCACAAGAGCGUCCAAGGACAGUGUACUGAACCCAUUGCACUGGAAAAGUACUGCACAUUGAGCAAAGUCUGCAGAGAGAACAGUCAUCUGGAGCUGAGCUUGAAUAUCUUUGUUCUAACUAAAUACAUUUUCCUUACGGUUUAGUUUGAGUGAGUUUCCGUGAUGUGCUGUUGAUUGAUUUAAUAUAUUAAAGGAGAUCAGGUUUUUGUAUUUUUGAUUUUUACUUAUGACUGAAAAUCUGCUCUUUAGGCUUAGGCAUUUUCUGCCUGCUUUCUUGAAAUUCUGACUAAUUAGUUUUAUUACCUUUUACCGAAGUAUUGUUCUCUGAGAACUAUAUUUCCCACUUCCAUUCAUUUCCCACAUUUCUUCAGUGACCCCUGUUUGUUUCUUUCCUUUUCAUUUUCAUUUUUGCAAAUUGUGUCAAAUGUUGCAGAUUCCAGACUUCAAGAACAACUGCCAUUCCUUGUUCAAAGCUAUAAAUAGAUUUAUUACAUCUGUCACCGUUAUGGUUGAAACCAUCAUGGUACAAAGUUUGCUGCAGGAUCUCCCAGUGGAAGGUGGAGAUACGUAAAAAGCAGUGUUUCUGAAUGGAAGGACAUGUACGAUAACUACCUGCUCCUGAAGUCUAUCAGAAAUGACAUUGAGUGGGGCAUUCUGGACGAACAAAUAAAAUCUGAUCUGCAGUCCAUAAAAGCCAGAGAAGACGGUGAUGACUGUGGAAUACUUCAAAGAUGAUUUCAUCACUAUUUACAUGGACUUUACAAUGUCCUCUCCAACCUUACACUGCAAGCUAAUCAUGUAACCAACUGGCAUACAAGGGAACUAGGAAUUAAUGACUUGGGAAGUGAAUUGAAAUCAAGUUACAGAUGAAAGUCUGGAGAGAUGAAAGACUGCAGGUUACCACUCCUAAAGCAUCAAGCAGUACCUCUUCCUGCAACAAAGAUACAAUUAUAUUCCAUUACACUGCCAAAUUACGCUGGUUCAUUUUAGUUUCUACAUUUAUAAUCAUAUUUGAACUGUACCCUAGCCAGCAGAAGUUUCAGUGCAUUUUGACACAAUAGCCUGUGACCUUCUGGCUAAUCAGGACAAUGUAGCACAGAGUCAGUGUAGCUACCAGAGUCAGCUAUUUUGGGAGUGAAGCAGAGUGUUUUGGCACCAGCUCAAGGAAGUAUAUCUAAUGUCAUUUAUUCCUUGUUCCAAUUUAAAUUUGCAUCAGCCUUGCUAGCCCGGAUUACGUUAUUGGUUUUCUGCCUUACUCUGGCUAUCGAUGAGCUAGCCACUUAGCAGUCUUUUACCUAGCAAUGUGAUCUGGACAGAUAUCCUGUUGACAAAAGAAGGGAACUUUACAAUUGAUUUUUGAGUGAAAGUAUAUCUUAACGUCACACACAGCCGAUUUCUGUUUUGUUCAGAGUGCUAUAAUGUAACUGGAACAGGAUUAACACACAAAGUGGACCAGUUCCAAUAGACGGACAGAGAGAGGUCAGGGCAGGGGGAGGGUUUCGCUCCGGUUCCUCUUCUCCUCCUGUUCCUCCUCCUCAGAACCCAAUCCCUCAAAUACAUAAAACCUACAUCCUGUUUCUCCAAAGAAAAGAAAAUUGAAAAGAUAUAUUUAGGAAGUAUUGUCAUUUUGCAUUUUAAUUUUGUCUUACCACUAAUUUUAUUUUACUUAGAUAAGUUUCACUUUCAAAGUAACAAUGCAUGUACAUCAAAUACAAAAAGACUUUCCAUAUGCAAUCAUAUUCCACACAAAUCUAUUUUGAUAUCAUAAGUUUUGUUUUCUUCCAUAUUUGGUCUUGAUACAGUACCCAUUUUGAUAUUGUUUCUUCAGCAUUAAACUCCGCCAAAACAAUCUCAAAUUCUUAAUAUUAAAUCUUGCUAAGAAAGUGAAUGGAUUAGGGUCUCUGCAGAGCUACUGAAUUUGUCGGCUUCAUAAUAUUUUAGGGUGAAUAUCAAACUUAAUAUUUCUUUUUCCACAGAUCAAUGUUUCUGAUGACAUGAAUUUUAAGUUACUUUUGAAAAAUAUCUGACUGGUUGUUCAAUCCUCAUUUAUUCUCCUGUAAUGAAACUGUGCCAAUACUGACUCUGGUAGUGUCAACAGCCAGUUUAAAUGGCUUAACAUGGUUCAGAGCUGUUAAAUGUCUCCUUUAUCUUAGAAACCUUAUUUUUACUUCUCUACAUAGUUCUUCUUGGCCUUGUCCCACAGUAUGGCCAAAAUGAGUUACUUUUGCUUUGACAAAUUCACCUGUGAACAAUUUUGUGCUGUAUUUGGCUUUUUGUAAUUGAUCAAACAAUUCAUUCAAGUGCUGUAAAUAUUCCUGCCAGGUUUGGCUGGACACAACCAAACCACCAAUAUUUUUGACAUAGUUGUAUAAUCCUUCAAUGACUUUGGUUAAGUUUUGAGAAAUUACUAGUGCAUGUUUCAUUCCAAACAACAUUAUUUUGCAUUAAUAAAGUCCAUCUCAGGUUAUAAGAGCUGGUAUAUCUUUGGCCCUUUUGGUCAAUGGAACUUUCCAAUGUAAAGACAACUUUUUUCUUAGACUGUGGUUUUAAAAAAUUAGUCACUAUAUCUCACUGUGAGUUGUAUCUACGAUGCUGUUUUACUCAAGCAGCAGGGGAAAAUGCUAAACAUAUUGGCGCUAUGUGUAUUGGCACUGCAGUUUUACCCAGAGACAGUUUAUUCAUUCAUUUUUCAAACAGGAUCAGUUUUGUGGGUCAGGAGUGCUUGGCAUAAUAGCAACUUCUUGACUGGCUCUUGAGCAAGUGCCUUCAUUCUUGCAUAUGGACAAUACAGGAGUAACUUGGAGCAUACAAAGAGAAAGUGCCUAAAUUUCUUACCCUCAUGGAGAAGUAACAGAAAAUCUCCUGUUAGCUGUUAUCACUUACCAUUUCCCUGUAAACCGCUGUCUGAAAAUUUCUUUGUUCAAAGGAAGUGGGGAGAAAACACCUGAAAAAGCACUUAAAAGGUGAAUCCUCAACCUGUAGAUGAAAGACUGGGAACUGGAGUAUCUACAAGUUUCACAUCACCAUAGCAUUAGCAAAGAAUCAGAAAGAACUGAAAGAAACACUGCUGUCUGUGAUCUAAAUUGGUGCUAGACUAUGCUUCUCUAAUUUUUUUUCCCCUCUGUACCUGUUCUUGCUUGUGUCUUGACGCUUUGUGUGUUUGUUUGUAAGUGCAUGGGAAAGGGGUGUUCUUUAAGUUAUGGCAAUUUGCAUUUCUUUUGUGCUAUUGGUUAAAAACGUUUGAUUACAAUAAAUAGUUUGCUGUUACUGAAAA
This is a long non-coding RNA of Rhincodon typus (whale shark), 9017 nucleotides long. RefSeq lists it as uncharacterized. The transcript is spliced from 2 exons. The record is from RefSeq and is a predicted model, not a curated record. Lineage: Eukaryota; Metazoa; Chordata; Chondrichthyes; Orectolobiformes; Rhincodontidae.